Unclassified non-coding RNA from Carlito syrichta (Philippine tarsier), 466 nucleotides. The record is from Ensembl. Lineage: Eukaryota; Metazoa; Chordata; Mammalia; Primates; Tarsiidae.
CUGGCCUGGCUGGGAGGCGGCCUGGGAAGGGACCUGUGUUUCUCAAGCCUGCGCGCCCUCGGGGCCUGGGGGUGGGGCCCCAGCAGAUGUCUGGAUUUGGUAGCCAGGGCCUGGAGCCGGAUGCGGAGAAGGAGGCCUGCAACUCAUUUCCCCAUUAAACAUUCUGAGAACAUCUGUGCCGGUUUCCAAGGCUUCUCUCUCACUAAUUGCUCUGAUUAUUGUGUGAAGUUAAGAACUGGCACGUUUCCGCGAUGUUGUGAUGAAGGUGAAAAGAUCGCCCUUAAUUAGAUUAAAAACAUUUUUUUCUUCCCGUGUAAUUUCGCCUUGAACAUCAAGGCCACUUUUUUGUUUUCCUCAUCCAAAGACCUCCAGAAACUUUCCUCCCCACCUCUCCAGAGGUUUCUGGGGAAUGUCCUGUGAGCUCAACUCUUGGAGAAGAUAGCGCUUAACCCAGAUUCCAUUGUAU